GGGAGUUCUUCGUUGUUUUCACUAUACUUUUAGAGAAUUACAUAUUACAAGUGAACAAUCAUGAUGCCUUUAAUGCUUGCUAACCUUCUAUUUAUAGAUGUGAGAGUGAGCCCUACAGGCCCUAGGCCCAUGAACACUAAUAAUUGGAUUUAGGCCCUUUAAUGCCUUAAUACACUUUAGUUUUGACUUGAUCCAUUUGCGAUGUCCUUCGUUGCUCAUGUUGAGUAGCUCCCUUGAGCUGCGCAGGCUAGUCUUUGCUGCCGAGUAACCUGGGUAGUCUGCGCCGCCAAGUCCCGUAGUCUGCGCUGGCGAGUCCCUUAAUCUGCGUUGCCGAGUAAUCUGGGUAAUUUGCGCCGCCAAGUCCCGUAGUCUGCGCUGGCGAGUCCCUUAAUCUGCGCCGCCAAAUCCCGUAGUCUGCGCUGGCGAGUCCCUUUAUUAUCUAAGGUCUUCAAUUAAACCUGCGCUGGUUGGCCUCGUUCAAUAAGAAUAAUGAUAACAGUAAUAGUAAUCAAGUAAGAUGUUCCUGUAUUGCUAAGUACAGCGCUGAUGAGUAUUCUAGUCCUCAUCAGCUACUCCCCCUAGUCUGGUUGAACUAUGUCUUCUUCGUGUUCAACCAGUGGUAUGCGGUAUAGAGUCAGCGCUGUGCUGCUCUCCCGAGUAGGGUCCAAGUGUUUUUUAGCCCUGCAGCCCUGUAACUUAUCACAAAUCGGAUACUUGUGAGUUUGCAAAAAUAAUCAAUGAUAGAACGUUACAUCCCUGCUAUUUUGUCAACACCAGAAAUAUCCCGACCCUGUCAAGAUAUUUAGAAUAACAACAGUAAGAACAACAAUGAAGAAACUCCCUUUCUAACGUGUUCAUUAAGCCACUUUUUGAUUAUUAUCAUUGUGCUCGUGCUAAGGCAGCUCCGGAAGCUUUGUACUUAGGCAAUUACAGCCGUGUCAACGAACAGCCCCUUUUCCCUUAGGUUUUGAAUUUUUUUAUCCCUAAAAAAUAGGAUAUAAGAGGUGAUGGGGGCAUAACCCCCUACUCCCCCCCAGUGUCGUGCGCGUACUUUAGAAGUCAAGCACGAUUGUUGAAGACUUGGAAGAGUUGAGAAUGCCCCCGAGUAGGGUUGAAAAACCGGUGCCGAGGAGUGACCCGGGAGAACGGCUGAAUUGCCCCUUAAGGCUCAUCCUCAGUCUAACUUUCGCGGCUUACGAUGUUUCUGCGCGGAGCAUAGACAUUGAGGCCUUCAUCGUGCAAUUAAUGCCUUGAGUUGUGCAAUUAAUGCCUUGAAUUUUGCAAUUAAUGCCUUGAGUUAUGCAGUUAAUGCCUUGAAUUUUGCAAUUAAUGCCUUGAGUUAUG
RNAcentral lists this long non-coding RNA (1344 nucleotides) under Salvia miltiorrhiza (redroot sage). RNAcentral's name for it is "long non-coding RNA (SMIL_LNC008523)". Lineage: Eukaryota; Viridiplantae; Streptophyta; Magnoliopsida; Lamiales; Lamiaceae. The record is from RNAcentral.